GAUCAUGGCUCAGGAUGAACGCUAGCUACAGGCUUAACACAUGCAAGUCGAGGGGCAUCGGGAAGAAAGCUUGCUUUCUUUGCUGGCGACCGGCGCACGGGUGAGUAACACGUAUCCAACCUGCCCUUUACUCGGGGAUAGCCUUUCGAAAGAAAGAUUAAUACCCGAUAGCAUAAUGAUUCCGCAUGGUUUCAUUAAGUAAGUAUUACGGUAAGAGUGGGAUGUCGUUCCUAGUUUAGGUUUGGUUGGGUGGUAACGGG
RNAcentral lists this ribosomal RNA (260 nucleotides) under uncultured bacterium. RNAcentral describes it as "partial 16S ribosomal RNA". It matches the Rfam family "Bacterial small subunit ribosomal RNA", at positions 15 to 264 of the family's 1533-position model. The record is from RNAcentral.